Molecule: ribosomal RNA, 464 nt
Filed under: uncultured bacterium
Lineage: Bacteria
Description: partial 16S ribosomal RNA
Rfam family: Bacterial small subunit ribosomal RNA
Source: RNAcentral
GACGAACGCUGGCGGCGUGCUUAACACAUGCAAGUCGAACGGUAAGGCCCCAGCUUGCUGGGGUACACGAGUGGCGAACGGGUGAGUAACACGUGGGUGACCUGCCCCGCACUUCGGGAUAAGCCUGGGAAACUGGGUCUAAUACCGGAUAGGACCGCACCGUGAGGGUGUGGUGGAAAGUUUUUCGGUGUGGGAUGGGCCCGCGGCCUAUCAGCUUGUUGGUGGGGUAAUGGCCUACCAAGGCGGCGACGGGUAGCCGGCCUGAGAGGGUGGACGGCCACAUUGGGACUGAGACACGGCCCAGACUCCUACGGGAGGCAGCAGUGGGGAAUAUUGCACAAUGGGCGGAAGCCUGAGGCAGCGACGCCGCGUGGGGGAUGACGGCCUUCGGGUUGUAAACUCCUUUCACCAUCGACGAAGGUUUUCUGACGGUAGAUGGAGAAGAAGCACCGGCUAACUACGUG